RNAcentral lists this long non-coding RNA (1791 nucleotides) under Homo sapiens (human). RNAcentral's name for it is "non-protein coding lnc-NETO1-1:14". Lineage: Eukaryota; Metazoa; Chordata; Mammalia; Primates; Hominidae. The record is from RNAcentral.
CAGGUUUAAAUUAAGGAAAAAUGUUUAAAGAAUUUUCCUCCUCAAUGUUUCUUAGGGUCGAAGAGGCGUUUAUGUUUGUUUAUGAAUAGGUCCUCGAAGGUAAAACAUAGGCUUUAACAUUCUGAGGCCAAGGAUGGAGCUGUGUCUGAUUUAUAAAGUUUCAGACGCAGUAGAACAAUUGACAUGAGAAACUAGUCUUCCUCUGAGGCUGGUGAAGCUGCAGAUCAGCACACACUCAGACUUGGUACAGAGAAACAGACCAUUCUCCCAUUAGCCUUUGGUAUACUUCAGUCACCUGGGGUAGAGUGAUUUCUGUGAUUUCUAAACCUUCUGUCCUACUCAUCUUACAGGCCAUGUCCAUCCUCAGAACUCAUGCUUUCCUUUAUUGUAGCUUCUGUUCUACGACUCCUCUAAUACAUUUUUCUUAGGAGCUUCAUUGAGAUAUAAUUUAUAUCCCAUAACAUUCACAUUUGAAAUGUGGCAUCCAGUGUUUUUUAUUGUAGUCACAGACUUAUGCAACUAUCACAUCGAAUUUUAGAAUAUUUUCACCGCCCUCUGAAAAAAACUAAAUAACAAUUAGCAGUAGCUCCCCGUUUCUUUUCUCUGCCAAACCACUAGCAACUAUUAAUCUAUUUUCUGUCUUUAGCCAUUUGGCAUUCCGAACAUUUAAUACAAAUACGAUCAUUUAAUAUGUGGUCAUUUGUUAGUUUGUUUCUUUUUAAAAUAUGGGCUUUUUGACUGGCUUCUUUCACUUUGCAUAAUGCUUUCAAGGUUCAUCCAGAUUUUAGCAGGUACACAUACUUCAUUCCUUUUUUAUGCCUGAAUGAUAUUUUGUGGUAUUUUUUGCUGUUAUGAAUAAUUCACUGUUUGGCCACCGUAAAUAUGCAUGUAUAAGUCUUUUGGGGACAUGAUUUUAUUUUGGAGGAUAGAUACUUAGAUGUUGAAAUAUUGGUUCAUAUAAUAGAUCUGUGUUUAAAUAUUUGAGGAACACUUCUUGAUGGUAUUGUGACACAAAUCUAUUAUGCAUAUAUGUAUGUAUUUACAUUGAGUAUGCUUUUGGUGUAAUAUCUAUCAAAGGUUAUGAAGAUUUACUGUUAUAUUUUCUUCUAAGAAUUUACAAUUUUACCUCUUACAUUUGUCUCUGUGAUUCAUUUUUCAGUUAAUUCUUGUGCAUGGUGUGAGGUAGGAGGACAAUUUCAUUCUUUUUUGUGCGACAAUUCAGUUUUCCCAGAACUAUUUAUUGACAAGUCAAUAAAGUGAAUUGUAGCAUAGAAAAUAUUGCAUUGAAUUAUCUUGGCACCUGUAUCAAAAGUCAGUUGAUCAUAAAUGUAAGAAUUUAUUUCUGGAACCUUAUUUCUAUUCCAUUAGUUGAUAUAUCUCUCCUUGUGUUAGUACCAUAAUGUCUUAAUUGCUAUAGCUUUGUAUUAAGUUUUGAAACAGGGUAGUAUAUGUCCUUCACCUUUGUUCUUUCUUGCCAGGUUGUUUUGGCUGUUGUGGGUUUCUUGCAUUUCCAGAUGAUUGCAAAGAGCUGUUUCUCAAUUUCUGCAACAAGUGCCAGCUGAAAUUUUGGUACCAGUUUCAUUAAAUAUGUAGAACAAUUUGAGCCUGAGUGAGUUCUGUGGAGCCCAUACUACCUGCGAUUCAAGCCAGCAACCUUGGAAUCUCCCUGAACAAUUUCUAUGGUGUCCAAUCACAUUUGCAAUCACUCCCCACACUCAAUUUUUCACAUGCUAUCCACAGCGCCUAGAGAUCCAAGCUUUUGUGAACAGGGGCUGACUUGUGAAUGUGAAC